AGGAUGAACGCUGGCGGUCUGCUUAACACAUGCAAGUCGAACGGGCUCUUCGGAGCUAGUGGCGGACGGGUGAGUAACGCGUGAGAAUCUGCCUUCAGGAGGGGGAUAACGACUGGAAACGGUCGCUAAUACCCCAUAUGCCUCCGGGUGAAAAGUAAUUCGCCUGAAGAUGAGCUCGCGUCAGAUUAGCUAGUUGGUGGGGUAAGAGCCUACCAAGGCGACGAUCUGUAGCUGGUCUGAGAGGAUGAUCAGCCACACUGGGACUGAGACACGGCCCAGACUCCUACGGGAGGCAGCAGUGGGGAAUUUUCCGCAAUGGGCGCAAGCCUGACGGAGCAAGACCGCGUGGGGGAUGACGGCCUAAUGGUUGUAAACCCCUUUUCUCUGGGAAGAAGACUGACGGUACCAGAGGAAUCAGCCUCGGCUAACUCCGUGCCAGCAGCCGCGGUAAUACGGAGGAGGCAAGCGUUAUCCGGAAUUAUUGGGCGUAAAGCGUCCGUAGGUGGUUAUUCAAGUCUGCUGUCAAAGCGUGGGGCUUAACUCCAUAGAGGCAGUGGAAACUGAGUGACUAGAGUGCGGUAGGGGUCGAGGGAAUUCCCAGUGUAAGCGGUGAAAUGCGUAGAUAUUGGGAAGAACACCAGUGGCGAAAGCGCUCGACUGGGCCUGCACUGACACUGAGGGACGAAAGCUAGGGGAGCGAAAGGGGAUUAGAUACCCCUGUAGUCCUAGCCGUAAACGAUGGAUACUAGGUGUUGCUCGUCAUCGACCCGAGCAGUGGCGUAGCCAACACGUUAAGUAUCCCGCCUGGGGAGUACGCU
Molecule: ribosomal RNA, 818 nt
Filed under: uncultured organism
Description: bacterial SSU rRNA
Rfam family: Bacterial small subunit ribosomal RNA
Source: RNAcentral